AACUAACGCUGGCGGCGUGCCUAACACAUGCAAGUCGUACGAGAAAGUUGGCUUCGGCCGAUGAGUAAAGUGGCGCACGGGUGAGUAAUGCGUGGAUAAUCUGCCCUUUAGUUGGGAAUAACGUACCGAAAGGUGCGCUAAUACCUGAUAAUACUGCAUAACUACUGUUGUGUAGUCAAAGAAGGCCUCUGUUUACAAGCUUUUGCUGAAGGAUGAGUCCGCGUACCAUUAGCUGGUUGGUGGGGUAAUGGCCUACCAAGGCUACGAUGGUUAGCUGGUCUGAGAGGAUGAUCAGCCACACUGGAACUGAGACACGGUCCAGACUCCUACGGGAGGCAGCAGUGAGGAAUAUUGCGCAAUGGGGGCAACCCUGACGCAGCAACGCCGCGUGAGUGAGGAAGGUUUUCGGACCGUAAAGCUCUGUCGAGCGGGAAGAAAUGUAUCAUGGCUAAUAUCCAUGAUACUUGACGGUACCGCUAAAGGAAGCACC
Molecule: ribosomal RNA, 490 nt
Filed under: uncultured bacterium
Lineage: Bacteria
Description: bacterial SSU rRNA
Rfam family: Bacterial small subunit ribosomal RNA
Source: RNAcentral